RNAcentral lists this ribosomal RNA (253 nucleotides) under uncultured bacterium. RNAcentral describes it as "partial 16S ribosomal RNA". It matches the Rfam family "Bacterial small subunit ribosomal RNA", at positions 524 to 776 of the family's 1533-position model. The record is from RNAcentral.
UACGAAGGGGACUAGCGUUGUUCGGAAUCACUGGGCGUAAAGGGCGCGUAGGCGGCUUUAUAAGUCGGGGGUGAAAGCCUGUGGCUCAACCACAGAAUUGCCUUCGAUACUGUAGAGCUUGAGACCGGAAGAGGUAAGUGGAACUGCGAGUGUAGAGGUGAAAUUCGUGGAUAUUCGCAAGAACACCAGUGGCGAAGGCGGCUUACUGGUCCGGUUCUGACGCUGAGGCGCGAAAGCGUGGGGAGCAAACAGG